Molecule: non-coding RNA, 75 nt
Organism: Myotis brandtii (Brandt's bat)
Lineage: Eukaryota; Metazoa; Chordata; Mammalia; Chiroptera; Vespertilionidae
Source: Rfam
GAUGGUUCGCGGGUGACACCCCCCAGAAUCAGGCUCCCUCCUCUCUGGUUCCGGGUGCAUCACCCGAGAACCGCA